AUGGUUUCUAGAUCUAUUUAAUUUAAAAAUCGGCACUUCAUUUUUCUAUGCUUAAUUUCAUGUUCUAGAGAAUUCCAUCUGAUCUUCAUCUUCCUCUCUCUUGAAUUAAUCCUAGAUCUACCAUUUCUCUCUUUGUCUUCGUCUCUCUCUCUCUGGAACAAACCCUAGAUCUGUAUCGUUUCUCUAUUCGUCUUUCUCUCUCUGAAAGAAACCCUAGAUCUAUAGCGUCUAUGUUCGUCUGCCUCUCUCUAUUACUCAAUGAAUCUAUCAGAGACAAAAAACCCUCCAUCUUCGAUGGAGGAUAUAGCGCUACACUACGUCACUCGGUUUUAUCCUCCCUCAUAAACGGAGUCGGUUGUGCCAGAAACACAAAUCUCGGCCUUCGAUCUCUGUGAAUCGGUGUCGGUUGUGGCUGAAACGGACUUCACCGCCUUCGAUAUAUGUGUGUCGGAGCCAUUGCCGCCGGAAUGCGGAGCGGCGGCUUUCGAUCGCUCAGAAGUGUCGUGGUUGCUCCAUGUCUCUAGAUCGGAGGCGAUGCAGCCGGAAAUUGAUGCGGCGACGUGGUUGCUGCCGGAAACUGAAGCGGCACGCCUCCCUCUCUUUGAAUCGGAGCCGAUUCCGCAGGAAUCCGAAGUGGCGCCAUGGUUGCUGCCAGAAACCGAAGUUGCGCGCCUCCCUCUCGCUGAAUCGGAGCCGAUUCCUCCGGAAUCCGAAGCUGCGCGCCUCUCUUUCUCUGUACAGCCCUUCGAAAUUUACAAUCACUAUAUUUUCAUAUUAAUAAACUGAAAAAUUGAAACAAAAAGAGUAGAAAAGAAAAACGAAAAAGAAUUGAUAGAGUAAUCCCAAAUGAUUAAACAAGAAUUUACAUGAAUUGAUAGAGUAAUCCCUUACAAAAUGAUAGAGCAGAAAAAAGAAAAAGAAAAAAAAACGAACAAGAAUAGAAAAACGAAAAAAAAAGAGAAAAAAAAUUAAACAAGUAAACAAGAAGAAAAAAAUAUAUAAUCCCAAAUGCAUAUAAAAAAUAAAUUAAAAAAUUAAAAGCAAUCUCCUAAUCAAAUAUUAGUAAAAGUAAUCUAAUCUCUUAACCACUAUACCCUUUUAUUUUAUUCAUAUGAUCAUCUUUUUCAGCUUUCUUAGUCUCUGUGCCCACACCCAAGUAGGACAUUAAAUCAUGGACGGAUGGAGUAUAUAUUUUAGGUUUUGUAUUUUUUAGGAUAAAUUUUUUUUUCCGACGUGGGAGGGAGAUAUAUUUCACAUGAUCUUCAUAUAUAUAUAAGGUUCGGUUCUACAAGAAAAUGAGCUUAUACAAGAAAAGGAGAAACAUUGAACAUGUCAAUAAUGUAGUUGAACAUACCAAUAAUUUUAUUGAAUGUUUGGGGUUCGAAACCUGGAUACGUUCAACACAAUUACCGAUACGUUCAUCAAAAAU
RNAcentral lists this long non-coding RNA (1429 nucleotides) under Salvia miltiorrhiza (redroot sage). RNAcentral describes it as "long non-coding RNA (SMIL_LNC010167)". The record is from RNAcentral. Lineage: Eukaryota; Viridiplantae; Streptophyta; Magnoliopsida; Lamiales; Lamiaceae.